AAACGCAAAACAGUGUUCAUCGUUCCAAAAACGCAAAACCCUAACUCAUCUCUUCAUCCAGGAAGCUAUGGAAUUCAUGCAACCACAGGCACCUAAUACGGUCAUCAUUCCAAAUCCCUAAGUCGACGAAAUCCCUAAUAAAUUUCAAAUCCCUAAUUGUCGCUCCAAAUCCAAACCCCUAACUCGUUCAUCGUUCCAAUCCCAAAUCCAUAAAUCUCUUUCCAAAUCGACUUAUAGCUUCUCUUGUUCUGUCUCCGACAAGUGGAGAACCUUCUCUUUCGUUCUCUCAUUCUGAAUCUGUGAACUUACAUCCUGAUACCUCAAACUUUUUUUUUGUUUCAUAUUUACAUGUUUCUUCAAACAUUUAUUUUAUUCUGAAAUAAAAUUGACGAUUUCUAAAUUUAUUCUGCUUGAUGUUAGACAUUUUGAUUUGGAAUUUAAUGGAAGCUGCUGUUGGUUUUGGUUGUUCUGUUAGGUGGCUUCAGUGGUUGAUUUUAGACAUAGUUAACUAGGUUUGCUCUGGUGCAUUGUAGCUUUUCUCAUCUAUUUUCUUAGUUUUUCAUCUAUUUUCUUUGUUUUGUUUUAGUUUUUGCUGUUGUUUUGUUUGGGUUUGCUCUAGUGCAUUCAUUGUAGAGACAUAGUUAAUUUUUUUUCCUUUUUUCUUUCAUGGCAGGGUUCAGGGCAAGCAGUGGCAGGUAGAUGGUAUUAGAUGUGCAUUUUAUAAUUGCAGUAGUUUCCCUCUCUUGAUAAGUUAGAUAUGCUUCUUAAAUUAUUUUAUAUGGUGAUGUAUUCAUGUUGAAUUU
Molecule: long non-coding RNA, 803 nt
Filed under: Trifolium pratense (red clover)
Lineage: Eukaryota; Viridiplantae; Streptophyta; Magnoliopsida; Fabales; Fabaceae
Description: long non-coding RNA (TPRA_LNC002552)
Source: RNAcentral